GCUAAUUACUUGUUUUGUAAUAGUUCGAUCCUGAUUCCUGAUUCCUGAAGCCGCCGCACCCAACCUUCUCUCGUCCUGAUCCACCCUAGCCAGGUGGCCAGCCAGGCAGGCCCCUCGCGCAGCCGGCCUCCCACUCGCCGCUCCUCAGGCCGCCGCACGGAGCUCGCCCCGCCGGCCACCACUCCGCCACCCGCCGCAGGAAAGCGAGGUCCUAGUUACCGGAAGAGUUGGGAAUGGAGGGUGCAGCGACGGAGAACUCGACGGUGCCCAUGGUGGCUCCGGAGGCGGCUGACCAUGCAGGUCAGCAUGUGGAUGGUUCGACGGUGCCCAUGGUGGUGCCAGAGGCGGCUGUUGACGCAGAGCAGCAUGUCGAGCGCUCGACGGUGCCCAUGGUGGUGCCAGAGGCGGCUGUCAACACGGACCAGCAUGUCGAGGGCUCAACAGCGCCCAUGGUGGUGCCAGAGGCAGCUGUCAACGCAGACCAGCAUAUCGAGGGCUCGACAGUGCCUAUGGUGGUGCCAGAGACAGCUGUCAACGCGGACCAGCGUGUUGAGGGCUCAACAGUGCCUGUGGUGGUUCCAGAGGAGGCUGUCGACACAGACCAGCGUGCUGACGCCGUGGCAGCGCCCAUGGUGAUGACUGAAGCAGAUGUAGAUGCAGACCAGCGUGCUGACAGCGUGGCAGCACCCAUGGUGACGACUGAAGCAGCUGCUGACGCGGAUCAUCCUAUCGAGGAUGCGGCUACCCAGGACAGGAAGCACGGGGAUGAUGAAGGAGUUGUCAAUGUUACUCCUGAGGAAAUGAGAGCCAUCAUCGAAGUUAUAGCUGAGACGGGGAAGUUCUGGCACGACUGGAGUUUUCUCAAGAGAUUGUUGUCUCUCCAAUUGAUGCAGGUCUUGGGUGAAUAUUCUGAGGCUCAAAUGGUGAUCCGAGAGGACGGGCAGCAACAGAAUUCCUUGUUUAGAGAGACGCACUCAGAGCUGUUUAGCCAGCUCAAUGAUGCUCUCUUGAGGUUUGAAGAGGGUCCUCCGUUUACACUUCAAAGGCUUUGUGAGAUUUUGUUGGAUCCAAAAGGAACAUACACAAAAUUGUCGAAGCUUGCUUUGGCCUUGGAGAAGAACCUCCUAGUCACGUCUACCAUAACUAAGUGUACUGAACCCUACCCUACUGCUCAUGGGCCAAAUUCAGAAGGACCAGUGAUCACAGAAAACACAGGUUCUGUUGAUGUAGAGCCUGAAAGGCCGGCAGAGCAUCCUGCAGCAGUGCCCAAUGGAACACAGUAUGCAGGAGGUGAUGGUGAUGAAGAGAUGGCUGACGCAGAAGCGGAGGGGCUGCCUGGUAGCCAUGAUGUCGAGAUGCAGGAGGAGAAGCCUGAUCAAAUUCCAGAUGUUAACUCUGACACCAACUCAGUUACUGCAGUUGCUUGUGAAACAGUUAAUGCUAGUGAAAAAGCUCCAGAUUCACAAAGUUGAGCUCACUCGCAGCAAAGGCCAGAAGACCUAGUGCAGCUCUCUUUAACAAUCCAGCUAUUGUGACAUCUCUGUGACUAGCUGAUUAUGCUAUGUGAUUCUCCCAUGAAUCACACCCAUAGACAAUAUGAUUAGGGGUUCGUGCUGUAUGCUUUGAAGUUGUUGUGAGCCGUCGAAGAUGGAAAUGGAUAUCUUGACCAUGGUUGAGAUGAAUGAAAUUCUCCGAGGAAAAAUGUACUCAAAAUGGCGAUGGCACAUUCUCCUUGGUUGUCACCUGAAUGUAUGUGGACUUCUUCACUUCACUUCCAGGUGCCAAAAGUUAUGAUGUACCCAAGGUUAGUCAAAUUGGAUAUUUGGCUAUCCUUUUUUGCAACUUGUACUGUAGUGAACUUGUGCAUCAUUAGAAAGUGACAUCUUUCCUGCCCCAUUUUUACUGUGAAGCAAUUAACCUUGGCCGCGUAUUGACCUUCUAGUGUUUCUUAGCACAUCCCACUGCCGUCUGCGGUUGUUUAUGAGUGCACGCCAUCGUAUUCGUGAUUUUCUGUCGAUG
RNAcentral lists this ribosomal RNA (2019 nucleotides) under Triticum aestivum (bread wheat). Its description in RNAcentral is "partial small subunit ribosomal RNA". Lineage: Eukaryota; Viridiplantae; Streptophyta; Magnoliopsida; Poales; Poaceae. The record is from RNAcentral.